This is a small nuclear RNA of Ictidomys tridecemlineatus (thirteen-lined ground squirrel), 142 nucleotides long. Its record names the gene U4. It matches the Rfam family "U4 spliceosomal RNA". Rfam says of the family: U4 small nuclear RNA (U4 snRNA) is a component of the major U2-dependent spliceosome. The structure of U4 snRNA from yeast and human has been reported. Lineage: Eukaryota; Metazoa; Chordata; Mammalia; Rodentia; Sciuridae. The record is from Ensembl.
AGUUUUGUGCAGUGGCAGUGUUGUAGCUGAUGAGGUUUAUCUGAGGUAUGAUCAUUGCUAAUUGAAAACCUUUCUCAAUAACCUUCCAUGAUGACUUGAAAUACAGUCGGCAUCAGCAAAUUUUUGACAGUCUCUAUGGAGA